RNAcentral lists this ribosomal RNA (618 nucleotides) under uncultured bacterium. RNAcentral's name for it is "bacterial SSU rRNA". The stretch from base 1 to 521 matches the Rfam family "Bacterial small subunit ribosomal RNA", at positions 338 to 873 of the family's 1533-position model. The record is from RNAcentral.
CCUACGGGAGGCAGCAGUGGGGAAUAUUGGACAAUGGGCGAAAGCCUGAUCCAGCAAUGCCGCGUGAGUGAUGAAGGCCUUAGGGUUGUAAAGCUCUUUUACCAGGGAUGAUAAUGACAGUACCUGGAGAAUAAGCUCCGGCUAACUCCGUGCCAGCAGCCGCGGUAAUACGGAGGGAGCUAGCGUUGUUCGGAAUUACUGGGCGUAAAGCGUGCGUAGGCGGUGAUUCAAGUCAGAGGUGAAAGCCUGGAGCUCAACUCCAGAACGGCCUUUGAAACUAGAUCGCUAGAAUUAUGGAGAGGUAAGUGGAAUUCCGAGUGUAGAGGUGAAAUUCGUAGAUAUUCGGAAGAACACCAGUGGCGAAGGCGACUUACUGGACAUAUAUUGACGCUGAGGUACGAAAGCGUGGGGAGCAAACAGGAUUAGAUACCCUGGUAGUCCACGCCGUAAACGAUGAUAACUAGCUGUUCGGGCUCUCAAGAGUCUUGAGUGGCGCAGCUACGACAUUAAGUUAUACCGUCCGUCGGGUAGGUACGGUCGCGAAGAAGUUAAAACGUUAAAAGUAAGUAAGUUAGACGGACGUGAGACGUGCCGACGGACGACGACGAGGGAGUUAGG